GUGUUGGUAGUAUAGUAGUUAGCAUAGCUGCUUUCCAAGCAGUUGACCCAGGUUCGAUUCCCAGCCAAUGCA
This 72-nucleotide transfer RNA is filed under the name Equus caballus (horse). It matches the Rfam family "tRNA". Rfam says of the family: Transfer RNA (tRNA) molecules are approximately 80 nucleotides in length. Their secondary structure includes four short double-helical elements and three loops (D, anti-codon, and T loops). Lineage: Eukaryota; Metazoa; Chordata; Mammalia; Perissodactyla; Equidae. The record is from Rfam by way of RNAcentral.